AAGUCGUAACAAGGUUUCCGUAGGUGAACCUGCGGAAGGAUCAUUAAAGAGAUCUGGGUCCUCCGGGGCCCGACCUCCCACCCUCUGUUGUCGCGAAUCUGUUGCUUCGGCUGGACCGCUCGGUGUAGACCGAGCGAUCGCGCUCAGGCGCGACCAGCUCCAGCCGGAGUCGAAAAACCAAAACCUUUGAACAUAACCUUGAUAGUCAGAGUAAAUUCGAGCUCCAGCAAUGGGGGGAGAUGCAAACUUAAAA
RNAcentral lists this unclassified non-coding RNA (253 nucleotides) under plant metagenome. RNAcentral's name for it is "partial contains small subunit ribosomal RNA and internal transcribed spacer 1". The stretch from base 1 to 46 matches the Rfam family "Eukaryotic small subunit ribosomal RNA", at positions 1786 to 1831 of the family's 1831-position model. The record is from RNAcentral.